RNAcentral lists this ribosomal RNA (703 nucleotides) under uncultured bacterium. RNAcentral's name for it is "bacterial SSU rRNA". It matches the Rfam family "Bacterial small subunit ribosomal RNA", at positions 28 to 776 of the family's 1533-position model. The record is from RNAcentral.
AACGUACGCUGGCGGCACGCCUAACACAUGCAAGUCGAACGAAGUAGCAAUACUUAGUGGCAGACGGGUGAGUAACAUGUGGGUAUCUGCCCUUUGGCCUGGAAUAACACGAGGAAACUUGUGCUAAUACUGGAUAAGUCUUUACGGAGAAAGCUUUAUGCACCAUUGGAUGAGCCCGCACUUGAUUAGUUUGUUGGUGGGGUAAUGGCCUACCAAGACUGUGAUCAAUAGCUGAUUUGAGAGGAUGAUCAGCCACAUUGGGACUGAGACACGGCCCAAACUCCUACGGGAGGCAGCAGUGGGGAAUCUUGCACAAUGGAGGAAACUCUGAUGCAGCGAUGCCGCGUGAGUGAAGAAGGCCCUUGGGUUGUAAAGCUCUUUCGUCGGGGAAGAAAAUGACUGUACCCGAAUAAGAAGGUCCGGCUAACUUCGUGCCAGCAGCCGCGGUAAUACGAAGGGACCUAGCGUAGUUCGGAAUUACUGGGCUUAAAGAGUUCGUAGGUGGUUGAAAAAGUUAGUGGUGAAAUCCCAGAGCUUAACUCUGGAACUGCCAUUAAAACUUUUCAGCUAGAGUAUGGUAGAGGAAAGCAGAAUUUCUAGUGUAGAGGUGAAAUUCGUAGAUAUUAGAAAGAAUACCAAUUGCGAAGGCAGCUUUCUGGAUCAUUACUGACACUGAGGAACGAAAGCAUGGGUAGCGAAGAGG